RNAcentral lists this transfer RNA (74 nucleotides) under Thermothelomyces hinnuleus. Its description in RNAcentral is "tRNA-Val". It matches the Rfam family "tRNA". Rfam says of the family: Transfer RNA (tRNA) molecules are approximately 80 nucleotides in length. Lineage: Eukaryota; Fungi; Ascomycota; Sordariomycetes; Sordariales; Chaetomiaceae. RNAcentral also lists the same sequence under 9 other names. The record is from RNAcentral.
GGUCGAAUGGUGUAGUUGGUUAUCACGUCAGUCUAACACACUGAAGGUCUCCAGUUCGAACCUGGAUUCGAUCA